Molecule: ribosomal RNA, 490 nt
Filed under: uncultured bacterium
Lineage: Bacteria
Description: bacterial SSU rRNA
Rfam family: Bacterial small subunit ribosomal RNA
Source: RNAcentral
GAUGAACGCUAGCUACAGGCUUAACACAUGCAAGUCGAGGGGCAGCAUGAAUUUACUUCGGUAAAUUUGAUGGCGACCGGCGCACGGGUGCGUAACGCGUAUCCAACCUUCCCGUUACUCCGGGAUAGCCUUCCGAAAGGGAGAUUAAUACCGGAUGGUGUUCAAGUGGUGCAUAUUAUUUGAACUAAAGAUUUAUCGGUAACGGAUGGGGAUGCGUACCAUUAGAUAGUAGGCGGGGUAACGGCCCACCUAGUCUACGAUGGUUAGGGGUUCUGAGAGGAAGGUCCCCCACACUGGAACUGAGACACGGUCCAGACUCCUACGGGAGGCAGCAGUGAGGAAUAUUGGUCAAUGGCCGUAAGGCUGAACCAGCCAAGUAGCGUGAAGGAUGAAGGUUCUAUGGAUUGUAAACUUCUUUUAUACGGGAAUAACACCAUCUACGUGUAGAUGUCUGCAUGUACCGUAUGAAUAAGCAUCGGCUAACUCCGUG